This is a long non-coding RNA of Cicer arietinum (chickpea), 698 nucleotides long. RefSeq lists it as uncharacterized. The record is from RefSeq and is a predicted model, not a curated record. NCBI's taxonomy places the organism in Eukaryota, Viridiplantae, Streptophyta, Magnoliopsida, Fabales, Fabaceae.
AUUUACAAAUAUGUGAAACAUUCACUUUUGUUUGACUUGGCACCUGCAAAAAGACUCGAAAAUGUGACAUUGGCUUGUGGGAUACGACAAUCUCUCUCUCCAUCUUCUACUUUCUCUUUUUUCCUCUUUUCUUCCUUCUUUCUCAUUCACUCUUUUCCUCCCAAAAUCCCCAAAAGCUCUCUUACUCUCUCACUCCACUCUUCCAUUCUGCUAGAACCAUCGUCGACACCACCACGAUCACAACCCAUGAUCAACUGUGAGAGAGUUAUGACAUUGAACGUAGAUGCAAUUAUUUUGGUUUGGAUUCAGACUAUAGGCCUCAAGCACAACAGGUAACUCCACAACAGAUACAUACACAAUGUUUUGGUUGCCCCCAAAAGGAGUUGGAGAUUAUGAUUCUUAGGAAUGUCAUUUUGAAGAUGCAUGGAGAUCACAAGUCAACAAUUAUUAAGAUGAAGUUGUUGCUAUUUUUAUGCGUUUUGUUUGGUGUAACAUGUGAUGUUUUAUUGUUGAUAUUAGCUCUGAAAUGAGUUUACUGUAGUUGAUGUAAUUUUCUUGAGGUUCAUGUAGUAGAUUUGUGGUAAGUAUGUAGUUAUGAUUGAGUUUGUUGUAGCAGAAAUUGUGGUAUUUGGAACUAUUAAUGUAUUUUGUUUUUGCAUCAAUUGUGGCUCCAACGAUCUUGGUGUCCCUUUCUUUAA